This is a long non-coding RNA of Trichechus manatus latirostris (Florida manatee), 1140 nucleotides long. RefSeq lists it as uncharacterized. The record is from RefSeq and is a predicted model, not a curated record. The transcript is spliced from 4 exons. Lineage: Eukaryota; Metazoa; Chordata; Mammalia; Sirenia; Trichechidae.
AUUUCCUGUGAUGCAUCACAUUCUGGUUUAAGCUUUUUCAAUAAUAAACCUUUUCUUUCUCUUCUAUUUUUUGUGGAGAGGUUUUCUGGGUUGGGAGUAGAUUUUGUUUUUAAUUAUAUUUCCUCAACACAGUCCAACACCUCCAUCCAGAGAAGGACAUUGGACAGCACGGCCUAAAUCAGUCCACCUCUCCAUGCAGAAUUUGAGCGGAAGACGCAGGAGAAAGCCAAAAGUUACAGGAACAGAGGUUGACAGCCUUGUGUGAGGUUCCAACGAUUCCAGCAGGAGAAUAACGUACAAUCUGUCUAAUGGAAAAGGAAACUUUCAAAGAACAAUUGUUGAAGAUGGUGGUGCCACAAGAUGGAUGGAGCCUGGGUACAUGAAUGGCUGCGUGGAGCAGAGCUCCCUGUCUACUGCAUUUGACUUUGAAGGAGAGGUGGCUGAGAAUAAAACCUGGAAGAGCUGUUUCAACAAAAACAUCAUGAGACACUGAGUCCUCAAGGCAGUGCUGCACUGUGGCUGCUGUAACAGAGAUGCCCAGGGAUUGAGACUGUUCCCAACUUGAGUUACUCCAGAGCCCAGCCCAGACACAGCCACCAGAGGAGCUAGCUGAACUAGCUUCCAUCUCACAUGGAGAUGCAGUAGCAGAUGUCACUCUUUGAUGGGUAUCAGCAGAACCACAGAGGAUGUAGGUAGCCUCAUGGAGGAUUCACGGCUGGAACAGUAGUAUGCAUUGGUGCAGGUGGCAGGAGAGGAGGGACAGAGCCAUACCACACAGCAGCCCAGAGGAUUUGUUUGUUUGCAAACAUGUGUGACCUCCUCAGAGGCCACCUGGAAUACUGUCUGGGGGGGAAUUGAGUCAGUCUGGAGACUCAUAAUAAUUAGUGAAGAGAAAGCAGAAAUUCACUCUUUUAUUAGUGUUAGAAUAACCCUAUUUUAACCACUAUGCUUAUGUGGCCUGGGGAAAUCCCGGUUAUGAUUUAAGUAAGCAGAUGCAUUUUUUAAUCAGUGAGGUUGAGUUUAGCCAGGGUCUAUUUGGGAUGUUAAAACCACUGGCAAUGUUCAUGAAUGAUUCAUGGAGAUUGGUGGAGGCGGUCAAGGGGUGUGAAAGGAACAAUUUAAAGUCCAUUUUCAUGAAAG